UAGUAGAACCGAGCCGCUCUCUGGAUAUCGGU
RNAcentral lists this non-coding RNA (32 nucleotides) under Geobacter sulfurreducens KN400. The record is from RNAcentral. Lineage: Bacteria; Pseudomonadati; Thermodesulfobacteriota; Desulfuromonadia; Geobacterales; Geobacteraceae.